This 669-nucleotide ribosomal RNA is filed under the name uncultured fungus. Its description in RNAcentral is "eukaryotic LSU rRNA". It matches the Rfam family "Eukaryotic large subunit ribosomal RNA", at positions 24 to 664 of the family's 3401-position model. The record is from RNAcentral. Lineage: Eukaryota; Fungi.
CCCGCUGAACUUAAGCAUAUCAAUAAGCGGAGGAAAAGAAACUAACAAGGAUUCCCCUAGUAACGGCGAGUGAAGCGGGAUGAGCUCAAAUUUAAAAUCUGGUAGCCUUUGGUUGCCCGAGUUGUAAUCUAGAGAAGCGUUUUCCGUGCUGGACUGUGUACAAGUUUCCUGGAUACGGAACAUCAUAGAGGGUGAGAAUCCCGUCCUUGACACAGACUCCCAGUGCUUUGUGAUGCGCUCUCAACGAGUCGAGUUGUUUGGGAUUGCAGCUCAAAAUGGGAGGUAAAUUCCUUCUAAAGCUAAAUAUUGGCGAGAGACCGAUAGCGAACAAGUACCGUGAGGGAAAGAUGAAAAGCACUUUGGAAAGAGAGUUAAACAGUACGUGAAAUUGCUGAAAGGGAAACGCUUGAUGUCAGUCGCGUCGGCCGGGGAUCAGCCUUGCUUAACCGCUCGGCGUACUUCCUGGCAGACGGGUCAGCAUCAGUUUCGACCGUCGGAGAAUGGCUCGGGGAAUGUGGCACUCUUUCGGGAGUGUGUUAUAGACUCGAGUCGAAUGCGACGGUCGGGACUGAGGAACUCAGCACGACCUUAGGGUUCGGGACUUCGGUCCACGUUUGCGUGCUUAGGAUGCUGGCAUAAUGGCCUUAAGCGACCCGUCUUGAAACACGG